This 458-nucleotide ribosomal RNA is filed under the name uncultured bacterium. Its description in RNAcentral is "partial 16S ribosomal RNA". It matches the Rfam family "Bacterial small subunit ribosomal RNA", at positions 338 to 795 of the family's 1533-position model. The record is from RNAcentral.
CCUACGGGCGGCAGCAGUGAGGAAUAUUGGUCAAUGGCCGGACGGCUGAACCAGCCAUGCCGCGUGAAGGUCAGUGCCCUUUGGGCGUUAAACUUCUUUUGUGCGGGAGCAAUAAUGGUCACGUGUGGCCAGACGUGAGUACCGUACGAAUAAGCAUCGGCUAACUCCGGGCCAGCAGCCGCGGUAAUACGGAGGAUGCGAGCGUUAUCCGGAUUUUUUGGGUUUAAAGGGUGCGUAGGCGGUGUUUUAAGUUAGUGGUUAAACGGCGGGGCUACACCUUGAUUUGCCAUUGAUACUGUAAGACUCGAGUGCAGACGAGGUAGGCGGAAUAAGUAAAGUAGCGGUGAAAUGCUUAGAUAUAACUUAGAACUCCGAUAGCGAAGGCAGCUUACCAGACUGCGACUGACGCUGAAGCACGAGAGCGUGGGUAGCGAACAGGAUUAGAUACCCCAGUAGUC